RNAcentral lists this ribosomal RNA (433 nucleotides) under uncultured bacterium. RNAcentral's name for it is "partial 16S ribosomal RNA". It matches the Rfam family "Bacterial small subunit ribosomal RNA", at positions 29 to 507 of the family's 1533-position model. The record is from RNAcentral.
AACGAACGCUGGCGGCAUGCCUAACACAUGCAAGUCGAACGCUACCUUCUGGUCUAGUUGCGCACGGGUGCGUAACGCGUGGGAACCUUCCCUUAGGUUCGGAAUAACUUUCCGCAAGGGGUGCUAAUACCGGAUAAUUUCUUCGGACCAAAGAUUUAUUUCCUUGGGAUUGGCCCGCGUUGGAUUAGCUAGUUGGUAAGGUAAAAGCCUACCAAGGCGACGAUCCAUAGCUGGUCUGAGAGGAUGAUCAGCAACACUGGGACUGUGACACGGCCCAGACUCCUACGGGAGGAAGCAGUGGGGAAUAUGGGACAAUGGGCGAAAGACGGAGCCAGCAAUGCCGCGUGAGUGAUGAAGGACUUAGGGUUGUAAAGCUCUGUUACCAGGGAUGAUAAUGACAGUACCGGGAGAAUAAGCGCCGGCUAACUCCGUG